CCUGUGGACCGGAAAGCAGAUCUUCAGUGUCAUCCUCAGGCCUAGCGAUGACAAUCCAGUGAGGGCCAACCUGCGAACCAAGGGCAAGCAGUACUGUGGCAAAGGGGAAGAUCUCUGUGCCAAUGAUUCCUAUGUUACAAUCCAGAACAGUGAGUUGAUGAGUGGCAGCAUGGACAAAGGAACCCUAGGGUCAGGAUCCAAGAACAAUAUUUUUUACAUUUUGCUGCGAGACUGGGGGCAGAAUGAAGCUGCAGAUGCCAUGUCACGGCUCGCCAGGCUGGCUCCUGUCUACCUGUCUAACCGUGGUUUCUCAAUUGGGAUCGGUGAUGUCACACCUGGCCAAGGACUGCUAAAGGCCAAGUAUGAGUUGCUGAAUGCCGGCUACAAGAAGUGUGAUGAGUACAUCGAAGCCCUGAACACGGGCAAGCUGCAGCAGCAGCCUGGCUGUACUGCUGAGGAGACCCUGGAGCGAAGGCUUGUCAAAUCUCUUGAAGAUCUUUGCUCCCAGUAUGAUCUGACAGUCCGAAGCUCUACUGGCGAUAUUAUCCAGUUCAUUUAUGGAGGAGAUGGCUUAGAUCCUGCAGCUAUGGAGGGAAAAGAUGAACCUUUGGAGUUUAAAAGGGUUCUGGACAACAUCAAAGCAGUCUUCCCGUGUCCGAGUGAGCCUGCUCUCAGCAAAAACGAGCUGAUCCUGACCAC
Molecule: small RNA, 699 nt
Filed under: Pongo abelii (Sumatran orangutan)
Lineage: Eukaryota; Metazoa; Chordata; Mammalia; Primates; Hominidae
Description: processed transcript
Source: RNAcentral